RNAcentral lists this ribosomal RNA (400 nucleotides) under uncultured bacterium. RNAcentral's name for it is "bacterial SSU rRNA". It matches the Rfam family "Bacterial small subunit ribosomal RNA", at positions 355 to 772 of the family's 1533-position model. The record is from RNAcentral.
UGGGGAAUAUUGCACAAUGGGGGAAACCCUGAUGCAGCAACGCCGCGUGAGUGAAGAAGUAUUUCGGUAUGUAAAGCUCUAUCAGCAGGGAAGAAGAUGACGGUACCUGACCAAGAAGCCCCGGCUAACUACGUGCCAGCAGCCGCGGUAAUACGUAGGGGGCAAGCGUUAUCCGGAUUUACUGGGUGUAAAGGGAGCGCAGACGGCAGUGCAAGUCUGGAGUGAAAGCCCGGGGCCCAACCCCGGAACUGCUCUGGAAACUGUGCGGCUAGAGUACUGGAGGGGCAGGCGGAAUUCCUAGUGUAGCGGUGAAAUGCGUAGAUAUUAGGAGGAACACCAGUGGCGAAGGCGGCCUGCUGGACAGUAACUGACGUUGAGGCUCGAAAGCGUGGGGAGCAAA